RNAcentral lists this long non-coding RNA (492 nucleotides) under Physcomitrium patens. RNAcentral's name for it is "long non-coding RNA (PPAT_LNC014897)". The record is from RNAcentral. Lineage: Eukaryota; Viridiplantae; Streptophyta; Bryopsida; Funariales; Funariaceae.
AUUUUGAUAUAUCAUGGAGUGGGAGACAAUCUAAUAAGAUAAAUUAUUCCAAAUCCAUGACAUAUCAAAAUACUAAAGAAAACAUAUCUAUCCAUAGUUCUAAGAGAAAAGUCUUACCUUUUAUAGGCUUGUUGUACAGUUCAUAGUCAAGAUUGCCUCAAGGCUUGCAAUAGAACUUAUUGGGGAUCUCACAGCCAAGCUUUCUAUGGAAUUCACUACAAGGCCAACUACAAGACCUAUCAUAGGACCAAUUGUAAGACCCGUUGCAAAGUUUGCAACUAAGCUUAUUGUAGAGCCCACCUCAAAGCCUUCAACCAAGCCUAUUAGAAGGUUCAUUGUCAAGCUUGUUGUAAAGCUUGCCAUCACACUUAUUGUGGAUUCUGUGGAUUGACUUGAUGUGGAAUUUGAUGUUGAGGCGAUUGCAUCCACAAUUGACUUUGCUUAGAUACCUCCUUUGGAACUUGCUAUUGUGCUUGCAUUCACAGUAUCUCU